This 825-nucleotide ribosomal RNA is filed under the name Entoloma pefiense. Its description in RNAcentral is "partial large subunit ribosomal RNA". It matches the Rfam family "Eukaryotic large subunit ribosomal RNA", at positions 97 to 907 of the family's 3401-position model. Lineage: Eukaryota; Fungi; Basidiomycota; Agaricomycetes; Agaricales; Entolomataceae. The record is from RNAcentral.
AGCGGGAAAAGCUCAAAUUUAAAAUCUGGUAGUCUUUGACUGCUCGAGUUGUAAUCUAGAGAAGCGUUAUCCGUUUUGGACCAUGUAUAAGUCUCCUGGAAUGGAGCGUCAUAGAGGGUGAGAAUCCCGUCUUGGACAUGGACUACCAGAGCUUUGUGAUGCGCUCUCAAAGAGUCGAGUUGUUUGGGAAUGCAGCUCUAAAUGGGUGGUAAAUUCCAUCUAAAGCUAAAUAUUGGCAAGAGACCGAUAGCGAACAAGUACCGUGAGGGAAAGAUGAAAAGAACUUUGGAAAGAGAGUUAAACAGUACGUGAAAUUGUUGAAAGGGAAACACUUGAAGUCAGUCACAUUGGCUAGGGAUCAGCUUUGCUUUUUGCUUAGUGUACUUCCUAGUUUAAUGGGUCAGCAUCAAUUUUGACUAGUGGAAAAAGAUUAAGGGAAUGUGGCAUCUUCGGAUGUGUUAUAGCCUUUGGUCGUAUACAUUAGUUGGGAUUGAGGAACUCAGCAUGCCGCAAGGCCAGGUUUUUACCAUGUUCAUGCUUAGGAUGCUGGCAUAAUGGCUUUAAUUGACCCGUCUUGAAACACGGACCAAGGAGUCUAACAUACCUGCAAGUGUUUGGGUGGAAAACCCAUGCGCGUAAUGAAAGUGAAAGUUGGGAUCCCUGUCGUGGGGAGCACCGAUGCCCGGACCAGACCUUUUGUGACGGAUCCGCGGUUGAGCAUGUAUGUUGGGACCCGAAAGAUGGUGAACUAUGCCUGAACAGGGUGAAGCCAGAGGAAACUCUGGUGGAGGCUCGUAGCGAUUCUGACGUGCAAAUCGAUCGUCG